Molecule: ribosomal RNA, 347 nt
Filed under: uncultured bacterium
Lineage: Bacteria
Description: bacterial SSU rRNA
Rfam family: Bacterial small subunit ribosomal RNA
Source: RNAcentral
ACCUGCAUUAUUUGACGUUACCUACAGAAGAAGCACCGGCUAACUCCGUGCCAGCAGCCGCGGUAAUACGGAGGGUGCGAGCGUUAAUCGGAAUUACUGGGCGUAAAGCGCAUGCAGGCGGCCUGUUAAGUCAGAUGUGAAAGGCCCGGGGACGUUAACCGUACGGUAAUUGCAUUUAGUAAACUAGGCGAGGCUAGAGUCUUGUAGAGGGGGGUAGGAAUUUCAGGUGUAGCGGUGAAAUGCGUAGAGAUCUGAAGGAAUACCAGUGGCGAAGGCGGCCCCCUGGACAAAGACUGACGCUCAGAUGCGAAAGCGUGGGGAGCAAACAGGAUUAGAUACCCUGGUAG